Molecule: long non-coding RNA, 1618 nt
Filed under: Sus scrofa (pig)
Lineage: Eukaryota; Metazoa; Chordata; Mammalia; Artiodactyla; Suidae
Description: lncRNA (ENSSSCG00065001985.1)
Source: RNAcentral
CUCAGUCAAUGUUUCUAAAUUCUCAAUUUUGGUUUGAAGAUGUUUUAGAAUAUAAAUAUCAUGUUUUUUUUUUUUUUAUUUCUGUUAAUCCUGAUUUAGCCAUUCGGAGGCAAUAUUUUGUAUAUCCCACCCCCUUUCCUUCGUUCUAAUGACAGGGAUGAUGAUUUUCCAUUUUUAGAGGUUUUCCAAGAAGGGUAAAAACUUCCACUGCACUCCCAGCUGGGAAAAGUGUAGAGGAACAUUCUCUCUCUCAAGCUUACUCCCUUCCCCAAGGAAGCAGGAAUACCUAAUAACUAGGGCCUUGUCAUGAGACAUGUUUCUACAAUACUUUCUUAGCCUCUUUGCUGAAAACUCCAUCUUGUCUUGCUUUACUUUAUCCCAUCUUCCUGCUUGAAAAACAGUCACAGUGCUGCUAAGUGACUUAAGCUUAAGAACAAAGACCUAAAGGCAUAAGCUAUUCAUAGGGUCAGCUGAAUGAGGACAUAAUGCAUUGGUCUAGGCACACCAGACCUGUGCAGAUUGGCACACCAUGUGCACAAGCAUGAUAUGUCCUCUAAGGAAUAAGAGAAAGAGGAACCUCAUAGCCAACCAAGUGAUUUAUGAGCGGGUGUUGGCAGAAUAUGCAUUAGCAAAGAGAACCAAGGUGCAAACCUAGGCAUGCCAGGUUGCUGCAAAUAGGCAUGACAUUUGCAGAAGCACAGUGAGGAUUCUCUGGAAUGCUAUGCAUAGAUAGCUAACUCAAAUGCUAAUGAUUAUUAUGUGCCUAAAGGUCAGAGUAAAAAGCUUGAUCUUCUACCAGCUAAGUGGCUUUUAAAAUAAUAAAAGAACUUAUACAAUAAUAAACAAACCUUAUAUCCUCCACCCAUAGCCUCUCCUCACUUGACAUCAUCCUAAAGAGCACAAUACAAGCAGUGUGGUUUCUUGAGGAGGUGCUCUUGGUCCCUGAGACCUUGAGUCCUCCAGUUCCCACUUUUACUUAAGAUAAAUGUCUCUGUGUCUUGUUUUAUAACUUUUUUCCUUAAAUUUCACAGCAUCCGUUCUUCAGCCCCAUCCUGCUGAGCUGGUCUCUGCAGGGCCUUAGAAAAGAAACUCUGUGUUUGCUCUUUUAUUUUUUUCCUCAAAUCAUUUUGCUCAAAGACUAAAGUCUCACUAAUUGAAGAAAAACCUACUUGCUAAAAACACAGUAACCUUUUUUUUUUUUUGGCUGUGCCCAUGGCAUAUGAAAAAUGCAGGACCAGGAAUCAAACCCAUGGCACCUCAACCACCCAUUGCCAGAUCCUUAACCCACUGUACCACAAGAGAACAUCAAAAACACAGUAACUUUUAAUUGUUACACUAUCUUACCCUUUCUCAGAAGCAAGAUUGAAAGAGCUGAGUGACUUUGGAAAGCUAAACACAACUCAAUGGAAAACUGGCAUGGACUCAUACAGAAAACGCCAUAUGAUAUAACCUCUGGUUAAAAAGUGGAGACACCUUAAAUUUGCGCACACAAAAGUGAUCUUUUAUUCACACAACCUUUCAAACAGGUUCCUUCCUCAGUGUUCUUCAGCUCAGGCAACAGCACCACAAACUACCAGCUGUGGUAGACUUCUCUGCCUCUAUUGCUGUACAGAAAAAG